Nyctereutes procyonoides (raccoon dog) is the source of this 255-nucleotide long non-coding RNA. RefSeq lists it as uncharacterized. The record is from RefSeq and is a predicted model, not a curated record. Lineage: Eukaryota; Metazoa; Chordata; Mammalia; Carnivora; Canidae. The transcript is spliced from 3 exons.
UGGGAGCAGGAACGGAAGGACUAUCCCGUAACUUCCGCUUUCGAAGUCUGAUAAAUGCCGGCAUGGAAGGGCGUGGCCUCUCUCAGCAGAAGAAAUCCUACGACUGGUCGACUGGCCGAGAGUCUGAGGGUACUCCAGUCAACAGACGAAGAGUCCCAGCUUCUACCACAGUCAAGGUUGUGGUCCUCUGUCACCCACCCUCCUGCCCACAUUCCUUCCCACUACCACCAAGAGAAGUGAGCAUGUCUCAGAGUC